AGGAAGGACUAGGUCAUCUGUGAUCACUAGAUUUCAAUAUGCCACCUAUCAUAACACACCAUUACUAAUAUUCUACCUACCCUAAAAGAAGGAAAACUGUUAGAAAUCCGGCUGUAACAUUAGCAACACUAAUCAGCACUUAAAAUGCAUUUAUUCCAUUUGUUUACUGACCAACUAUUAUGUGCCAUUUUAGCUGGCAGGGAUUUAAUGGUAAAUAAGACAGACAAAACAAGCAAAGUCAAAAAACAAAAAUAGGGGUGAGGUGUGAAUUGGUGUUAGAGUGCUUUUCUAGCAUACAUGAUGCCCUGGGUUCGAUCUCCAGCACUACAGAUUUAAAACAAAAACAAAUAACCAACAAAAAGCAGCCAAAUGAGUAGAUAAAUGAAAUAAUUUAAAGUUUCAGUAAGCAUCAUGAAGGAAACAAGCAAGUCUGAAAUGUCUGGAUAAGGUGAUCAAGAAAGACUUUAUUGAGAAGGCAGCAUUUAAGUAGAAAUCAGCUGCAAAUAUUGUGAAACCCAGUUACAGUUCUGUUUGUUCUAUGAUGGGUAAAUAAAGCAUUUCCCCCCAAAGUGGAAACUACCGUGAGACUAAUUAUUAGUAAUGGUAGUGCCCUUUGGAAGCGAGACACCUCCUCUUCCCACCCUGUUACUUUCAGUUCUUCCCUGCCAGGCAACUUUUGCAAUGUUUUGCUGGCAGGCAUUGAGGCUGGGCAUGGGGCUUGGACAUUUGGCAAUGAUGAAUCUUUAUUGCCCUCUAAAUCACUAAUCUAGGGAUAAAGCCGAGAAGACUUGGGGUACCCAAGGAAAGCCCCUGAUAGAUCUUGGAAAAAGCUGUAGGUCUGAGUAUGUUGUGUGUGGACCUAUGUAAGUAUCAGUCUCUUCUAAUUGCCUUAGGGCUUUAGUUCAGUAUAACUUGACACUUUCUACACAAAGCUGUUACUUCCCUCAUCUCUCUUCCCCCACCAUAGAGAUAAAAUCAAUCAUGGGAAGGUGAUCCUCAAUCUACCUCCUUCCCUGACUUAUACGUACCAAGACCUAUGGCCAGUAUG
RNAcentral lists this long non-coding RNA (1048 nucleotides) under Marmota monax (woodchuck). The record is from RNAcentral. Lineage: Eukaryota; Metazoa; Chordata; Mammalia; Rodentia; Sciuridae.